RNAcentral lists this ribosomal RNA (519 nucleotides) under uncultured eukaryote. RNAcentral describes it as "SSU rRNA". It matches the Rfam family "Eukaryotic small subunit ribosomal RNA", at positions 1161 to 1695 of the family's 1831-position model. The record is from RNAcentral.
AGGGCACCACCAGGAGUGGAGCCUGCGGCUUAAUUUGACUCAACACGGGAAACCUCACCCGGCCCGGACACGGACAGGAUUGACAGAUCGAUAGCUCUUUCUCGAUUCCGUGGGUGGUGGUGCAUGGCCGUUCUUAGUUGGUGGAGCGAUUUGUCUGGUUAAUUCCGAUAACGAACGAGACUCUGGCAUGCUGACUAGUUACGCGACCCCCCGAGCGGUCGGCGUCCCCCAACUUCUUAGAGGGACAAGUGGCGUUCAGCCACCCGAGAUUGAGCAAUAACAGGUCUGUGAUGCCCUUAGAUGUCCGGGGCUGCACGCGCGCUACACUGACUGGCUCAGCGUGUGCCUACCCUACGCCGGCAGGCGCGGGUAACCCGUUGAACCCCAUUCGUGAUGGGGAUCGGGGAUUGCAAUUAUUCCCCAUGAACGAGGAAUUCCCAGUAAGUGCGGGUCAUAAGCUUGCGUUGAUUAAGUCUCUGCCCUUUGUGCACACCGCCCGUCGCUACUACCGAUUGGAUG